This is a non-coding RNA of Pelobates cultripes (western spadefoot toad), 531 nucleotides long. The record is from the annotation of a GenBank genome assembly. NCBI's taxonomy places the organism in Eukaryota, Metazoa, Chordata, Amphibia, Anura, Pelobatidae.
GUUUUUAAACAUUUUAUAGAAAUAUUGAAAGUGGAAAGAAUUAUGCAAACCUUUUAAAUACAUAAAAGCAUUUGAGGCUGUAAAGAAAAAAAGGUUAUCUGAAAUUGCUUAUAGGUACACUAUAGGCACCCAGACCACUUCUGCUCAUUGAAGUGGUCUGGGUGCAGAGUCUCUGUCCCCCAUAGUUCUGCUGGUUAACUUUGCAAUAUAAAGUUUUCAGCUGCAGGGUUAAAACAGGGGGCACAUGGCACCCAUACCACUUCAUUGAGAUGAAGUGGUCUUGGUGCCUAUAGUGUCCCAUUAAGAGAGAAUAUAUGCCAAACAACAUUUCUGCUUUAAUUACAGCCUUUAUGAAAAGCACAGUUGUUUUCCAUAGCUGCUGACUCUUGCAUGCUUAAUUAAUGAAACUCACCUCUCAUUGAACCUUCUGUUGUGAUGAUGGCUACUGUAUGUGAAAAUGGAUUUGCAUUGUAAAACAUGACCUACUUAAAGGACUGGCACUCCCUCUGAGAUACACACAUAGUUGAGUGC